UGGGGAAUAUUGGGCAAUGGGCGCAAGCCUGACCCAGCCAUGCCGCGUGAGUGACGAAGGCCUUAGGGUUGUAAAGCUCUUUUGGCGGGGACGAUAAUGACGGUACCCGCAGAAUAAGCCCCGGCUAACUUCGUGCCAGCAGCCGCGGUAAUACGAAGGGGGCUAGCGUUGUUCGGAAUCACUGGGCGUAAAGCGCACGUAGGCGGACUUUCAAGUCAGGGGUGAAAUCCCGGGGCUCAACCUUGGAACUGCCUUUGAUACUGUUGGUCUCGAGUCCGGAAGAGGUGGGUGGAAUUCCGGGUGUAGUGGUGAAAUGCGUAGAUAUCCGGAGGAACACCAGUGGCGAAAGCGGCUUCCUGGACUGUAACUGACGCUCAGACGCGAAAGCUAGGGUAGCAAACG
This 402-nucleotide ribosomal RNA is filed under the name uncultured bacterium. Its description in RNAcentral is "bacterial SSU rRNA". It matches the Rfam family "Bacterial small subunit ribosomal RNA", at positions 355 to 774 of the family's 1533-position model. The record is from RNAcentral.